GCUCUGUUUGGCAAGGCAUACAUUAAAAUUUGUUUGAUACAGAGAAGAUUAGCAUGGACCCUGCACGAGGAUGACACGCAAAUUCGUGAAGCCUUCCAUAUUUAA
Small nuclear RNA from Suncus etruscus (white-toothed pygmy shrew), 105 nucleotides. Lineage: Eukaryota; Metazoa; Chordata; Mammalia; Eulipotyphla; Soricidae. The record is from RefSeq and is a predicted model, not a curated record.